AUACGUAGGGGGCGGGCGUUGUCCGGAAUGAUUGGGCGUAAAGGGCGCGUAGGCGGCCCGGUAAGUCUGGAGUGAAAGUCCUGUUUUUAAGAUGGGAAUUGCUUUGGAUACUGUCGGGCUUGAGUGCAGGAGAGGUAAGUGGAAUUCCCAGUGUAGCGGUGAAAUGCGUAGAGAUUGGGAGGAACACCAGUGGCGAAGGCGACUUACUGGACUGUAACUGACGCUGAGGCGCGAAAGUGUGGGGAGCAAACAGGAUUAGAUACCCUGGUAGUCCACACUGUAAACGAUGAAUGCUAGGUGUUGCGGGUAUCGACCCCUGCAGUGCCGGAGUAAACACAAUAAGCAUUCCGCCUGGGGAGUACGGCCGCAAGGUUGAAACUCAAAUGAAUUGACGGGG
Molecule: ribosomal RNA, 397 nt
Filed under: uncultured bacterium
Lineage: Bacteria
Description: partial 16S ribosomal RNA
Rfam family: Bacterial small subunit ribosomal RNA
Source: RNAcentral